Molecule: ribosomal RNA, 422 nt
Filed under: uncultured Bacteroidota bacterium
Lineage: Bacteria; Pseudomonadati; Bacteroidota
Description: uncultured Bacteroidetes bacterium partial 16S ribosomal RNA
Rfam family: Bacterial small subunit ribosomal RNA
Source: RNAcentral
UGAGGAAUAUUGGUCAAUGGACGAAAGUCUGAACCAGCCAUGCCGCGUGCAGGAUGACAGCUCUAUGAGUUGUAAACUGCUUUUAUACGAGGGUAAAGUGAGGUACGUGUACCUUUUUGAAAGUAUCGUAUGAAUAAGGAUCGGCUAACUCCGUGCCAGCAGCCGCGGUAAUACGGAGGAUCCAAGCGUUAUCCGGAUUUAUUGGGUUUAAAGGGUGCGUAGGCGGUUUUUUAAGUUAAUUGUUAAAUCUUCGGGCUUAACCCGGACAUGGCGAUUAAUACUGGAGAACUAGAGAUUAGUUGCAGAGGGCGGAAUGUGUAGUGUAGCGGUGAAAUGCUUAGAUAUUACACAGAACACCGAUUGCGAAGGCAGCUCUCUAAGCUAAAUCUGACGCUCAGGCACGAAAGCGUGGGGAUCAAACA